Molecule: non-coding RNA, 91 nt
Organism: Poecilia formosa (Amazon molly)
Lineage: Eukaryota; Metazoa; Chordata; Actinopteri; Cyprinodontiformes; Poeciliidae
Source: Rfam
UGUCCUUCACGAAUCUUUUUGCGGUCUGGGCUUGCUGUUCAUUACUAUUAAUCUGGGAAGCCCUUACCCCAAAAAGCAUUUGCGGAGGGCG